AUCUAACUGACGAGUCCAAAAUAGGACGAAACAUGCAUCUUGAAU
RNAcentral lists this non-coding RNA (45 nucleotides) under Schistosoma margrebowiei. The record is from RNAcentral. Lineage: Eukaryota; Metazoa; Platyhelminthes; Trematoda; Strigeidida; Schistosomatidae.